This is a microRNA precursor of Rhinopithecus bieti (black snub-nosed monkey), 83 nucleotides long. Lineage: Eukaryota; Metazoa; Chordata; Mammalia; Primates; Cercopithecidae. The record is from Ensembl.
UAUUAGGUUGGUGCAAAAGUAAUUGCAGUUUUUGCUAUUGGACGUAAUGGUAAAACUGCAAUUAUUUUUGCACCAACCUAAUA